AUGUACCCUUCUCUAUGGAAUAGCCAUUGGAAACGAUGAGUAAUACCAUGUACGCCCUUCGGGGGAAAGAUUUAUCGGAGAAGGAUCAGCCCGCGUUAGAUUAGAUAGUUGGUGGGGUAAUGGCCUACCAAGUCUACGAACUAUAGCUGGUUUUAGAGGAUGAUCAGCAACACUGGGACUGAGACACGGCCCAGACUCCUACGGGAGGCAGCAGUGGGGAAUCUUAGACAAUGGGCGCAAGCCUGAUCUAGCCAUGCCGCGUGUGUGAUGAAGGCCUUAGGGUCGUAAAGCACUUUCGCCAGGGAUGAUAAUGACAGUACCUGGUAAAGAAACCCCGGCUAACUCCGUGCCAGCAGCCGCGGUAAUACGGAGGGGGUUAGCGUUGUUCGGAAUUACUGGGCGUAAAGCGCACGUAGGCGGAUCAGAAAGUUGGGGGUGAAAUCCCAGGGCUCAACCCUGGAACUGCCUCCAAAACUCCUGGUCUUGAGUUCGAGAGAGGUGAGUGGAAUUCCAAGUGUAGAGGUGAAAUUCGUAGAUAUUUGGAGGAACACCAGUGGCGAAGGCGGCUCACUGGCUCGAUACUGACGCUGAGGUGCGAAAGUGUGGGGAGCAAACAG
This 617-nucleotide ribosomal RNA is filed under the name uncultured bacterium. Its description in RNAcentral is "bacterial SSU rRNA". It matches the Rfam family "Bacterial small subunit ribosomal RNA", at positions 124 to 775 of the family's 1533-position model. The record is from RNAcentral.